GUUAGGGUUAGGCGUAGGGUCAGGGUGAGGGUCAUGGUUAGGGUUUAGAGUUAGGAUUGUCAGGCCUAGGGUAAGGCCUAGGGUUAGGGUUAGGGUUAGUGUCAGGGACAGGGACAGGGUCAGUGUCAGGGUUAGGGUUACCCCAGAGCGGAACCCCAGAGCGGACGGGCGGACGGGUUAGGGUUUGGGUUAGGGAUAGGGAUAUGGUUUGGGUUAAGGUUCGGGUUUAGGUUAGGGUUUGUUUUAGGAGCAGGAUUUAGGGUUAGGUUUAGGCUUAGGCUUAGGGUUUAGGGUUAAGUUUAGGGUUAGGAUUAGGUUUAGGUUUAGGGUUAGGUUUAGGGUUAGGGUUUGGGUUAGGGAAAGGGAUAGGGUUAGGGUUUCGGUUAAGUAUAGGGGUAGGGUUUGGGUUAGGGUUAGGGUUUAGGUUAGGGUUUGGGUUAGGGGCAGGAUUUAGGGUUAGGGUUAGGUUUAGGCUUAAGCUUAUGGUUUAGGGUUAGGGUUAGCGUUUUGGCUUCCAGUAUUGUUUGUGCAUUCCCAUGUUGUUUUGCAAUCUUUUCUCUUUUCAUUAGUUUUAUAAUUAAAGUUUUUCAAAGCAUGCCUCCCUGUUUUCAGUUUUCUCCUACGCCCUGAGAUUUAGCCGACCUUGUUUUCUUUUGCUCUUUGUCAAGUCUUUUUGAUACAAGCUGUGUGCAGCUUUGAUACGAGCUUGUUUGUCCCCUAUGACAUGGAUGAUUUUGCUGAAUCUCCGUGAUGCCUUGAAAAGGGCUGUGCUCGGGGACCGUGGCAGCAUUUUGGUAUCUGAUACAGAUUUUCCUGUUCUGGCAUACAGUGAAUUUCUUUGAUAUGUCUAUUAAGACUGUAACUGUCUUCCUGCUUUGAGUAAGGAGUUGGAAGAUGAAAGGUUAGUGUUCAUUUCCUCCCACAUGGGCUGUAACCUUUGUCUGCAUGUCUUGUGGUUGUGUUUUGUUUGUUUGUUUGUUUGUUUUGGCAGGCCCUCCAGUAGAGCAGCAGGGUGAAAGGUCUCGAGCUGGUGGCAGGACCCUGGCAGCUCUGCAGCCUGAGCAGCUGGCUCCAAGCUUCAGGGAGUCGAGACAGUGAGAUGUGUCACCAGGAUGUGCCACUAAACCCAGAACUACUAGGCCAUAAAUCGAGACUCUGG
RNAcentral lists this long non-coding RNA (1159 nucleotides) under Anser cygnoides (Swan goose). Its description in RNAcentral is "lncRNA (ENSACDG00005011239.1)". The record is from RNAcentral. Lineage: Eukaryota; Metazoa; Chordata; Aves; Anseriformes; Anatidae.